CUCUGCACCAACACAUUCAUUUUCUCUUUCUUCCUCGAGCUUCUUAUAAAUGUUUUUCUUAGGUGUGAUGGUGCAUAACAAUAAAAAGAGCCAAAUAAUUUCGUAAUGUUACAGUAAUAGUAGUAGGGCCGUUGUAGCUGUAGCAAAUGGAAACACGAAAAGAGUCCGCAUAGCAUGCUCCCAUGCCGGAGCAUGGUGAUAAUAGUGAUCUAUCUUCUGAUGUAACAUGAACAACGACCACCACACCCUUGAUCUUCCCCAAGAACCCAAAGUACAUAUUUAUGAAGUCUUGAAAUCCUUGUUAGAAUUUAUACAUUAGAGUAGCUAGCCUUUUAUGAAACCGUAUUAUCACCGAUUUUAUACAAAUGUCAAAAAUACCAAUUUUAAUAUGGGAAAUUUAUAAAUACUCCCAAAAUAAACUAUGUAGACAUCCUUUCCCAAUAUUUUUAGUAUCACACAAUAGACCCAAAGACUGUUUUUUCAUGUAUUUAAUCCAGUAAAAAAAAUUGAGACUAAAUUGCCUCUCUCUUUCUCUCUUUACCUGCUCAUUCUUUCUAAUUCCCUCUCUCUCUACCCACUUUCUCUCUUUCUCUCUCUACCCGCCCUCUCUCUCUAUUGUACUUUCGUAGUUCCAUUAUAAAGUCCACUGUCUCACAUCUAUACCUAUUUUCAUCUCUCACUCUCUUCUUUUAUCUUUACCAUACUUGUGGAAUCCAACACAAAGAGAUUAUCCGACGCCCCUCUUUAUCUUUGCUUACAAAACCUGUUUUUAUUCCCCCUUUUUAAAAUGGCCAUCUCUCCUGAAAACCUUCUUUUGGGCCCAUUACCUCUUAUUUCCCUUUCUUUAAUGGGUAUCUGGGGAAGUAGAAAGAGAGAGAGAGAUUGCGGGUAGAGAGAGAAAGUAGGUAAAGAGAGGGAGUAAGAAGAGAUUGAGAGAGCGAGAGAAAGGGCUAGUAGAGAGUGCAAGAUAGGGUGGGUGGAGAGAAAGAGAGAGAGUGCGAAAGUAAAAAAGCAAUUUAAUCUCACUAUUUUGUACUUUUGACUAGUAGUAAAUACAAAGAAAGCAGUAUUUGAGUCUAUUGUGUGAGGACAUCUACAAAGUUCAUUUGGGUAUUUAUAAUUUUCUCUUUUAAUAUCAACAACACUUAAACACCUUUUAAAGGAGGGAAGUGGGAUUUCGAGUGACAUUAGCACUUUCACAAUGAGAUUUCAACAAGAAUGGUUAAGAAAUGUCUAAAUUUCUAAUGUAGAAAAUAUAAGUAUCGUGUCAAUAUAUAAGGGCACCUACGUCCAUGCUACUUGUGUUAUCACAAUAUCCAUGAUUGGUGUUUUUAUAUGAGAGAGAGAGAGAGAGAGCAGUAGAGGCCAGGGGAUCAUAUGGACGGGGGUUGUUUGCUGAACUCUACAAAAAAUUUGACGUUUUACUGAGAAAAACCAUGCAUAUCGUUCAUUUUUUAACCUCUAAUAUACAAAAAAGGGCAAUGACUUCAUGGUUGUAUAGUAACAUGAUGCAACAAUCUUCAAAAAUUAUGGUAUUGCUAUUUGUUUAAUUCAAAUUUCGAAAUAUACACUCUUUUCAUUCCAAUGAACAAUCACAAAAAAAAAAAUUGAAACUAUAACCUAGAAAGUAUUUUUUUAACCCAAUUAAUAUAGGCCGUUCAUUUUGGUGAAAUGCUUAGAUUUAGGCCUUAAAAAUAUAUUUUCACUUUCAAUUUUUUUGGAUGGUUUUAUUAUCAUUAAAUGGACCAUGUUAAAAAAUAAAAAAAAAAUGUUUUUGAGUUUAUAAAGGCUAAGAUCUUGAAAUUCACCAAAUGAAUGAUCUAGAUUCAUUUUUAGAGGGGUCUCAUUUUGACCAUAUCUAGGGUUCAAAUUGAACUUUUUUUUUUUUUUUAGAUUAAUUAUUAAGAUAAAGAAAGUGUGUAUGCAAAUUGGGAUUGAUUAUUGAGAUAAAGAGAGUGUGUAUGUAAAAUUUUGAGUCAUACAAAUACCACAAACAUAAUUUUCUAGAAGUGUCGUGGCAUUAUACUAGUAUACAACCGUUGCAUGAAAUCACUGCCCUAUAAAAAAUUAGUUGGUUUUCCAAGCUCAUCUUUCGAAUCAUGGGACCCUUUCUUUGAAAGGUAUGAUUUGUAUAGAGGCCCUAAACAAUCAAAGUAGAGCCUACCUUCAAAUAGUGCCGAGAAAUGUAGUCUCAAUAUUGAAAAUCUUUGUGAUAGUCUGAAAAUAUAUUUCCAUCUCUAAUUAUAAGAUUUAAAGCUUUGUGUAAAUCGAGCAUAUCUAUGAAAACUUGAAAAUCUUGAAAAUUACUGGUCUAAAAAUGUAAUACAAGAUGCACUAUUUCCAAAACUUGAAAUCUAUUUUUUUCUCAUGUUCAUGCAUCUUGAUGAUGAGAUGAUCAAUAUGAAGAUAUUUAAGCAUCAAAACAACCUCUACUAGUGAAAUUUUUGAGGUAGGUUCUAAUUUGAUCAAGUAGAGCCUUGGCUCUAUAUAAACUUUUCCCAGUAUAUGAGUAGGAAAAAAAGCAAACACUAGAAAUUAAAGACCAUGAUGGAGAGAGAUGAACCUG
RNAcentral lists this long non-coding RNA (2566 nucleotides) under Amborella trichopoda. RNAcentral's name for it is "long non-coding RNA (ATRI_LNC003468)". Lineage: Eukaryota; Viridiplantae; Streptophyta; Magnoliopsida; Amborellales; Amborellaceae. The record is from RNAcentral.